Molecule: ribosomal RNA, 497 nt
Filed under: uncultured bacterium
Lineage: Bacteria
Description: partial 16S ribosomal RNA
Rfam family: Bacterial small subunit ribosomal RNA
Source: RNAcentral
GAUGAACGCUGGCGGCGUGCCUAAUACAUGCAAGUCGAGCGAACGGACGAGAAGCUUGCUUCUCUGAUGUUAGCGGCGGACGGGUGAGUAACACGUGGAUAACCUACCUAUAAGACUGGGAUAACUUCGGGAAACCGGAGCUAAUACCGGAUAAUAUUUUGAACCGCAUGGUUCAAAAGUGAAAGACGGUCUUGCUGUCACUUAUAGAUGGAUCCGCGCUGCAUUAGCUAGUUGGUAAGGUAACGGCUUACCAAGGCAACGAUGCAUAGCCGACCUGAGAGGGUGAUCGGCCACACUGGAACUGAGACACGGUCCAGACUCCUACGGGAGGCAGCAGUAGGGAAUAUUCCGCAAUGGGCGAAAGCCUGACGGAGCAACGCCGCGUGAGUGAUGAAGGUCUUCGGAUCGUAAAACUCUGUUGUUAGGGAAGAACAUAUGCGGGAGUAACUGUGCACGUCUUGACGGUACCUAAACAGAAAGCCACGGCUAACUACGUG